UUGUUGAUUCCAUUGAAGUUUGUCUUUACAAAUCAAACAUUGUCGUAGUAUGUGAAGUCUUGCUUGAAAAUGCUACAGGCACUUGGCUGUGGAAGGUAGAAUAGAAAUUGCAACAACAAAAUUUUAACUCUAAUAGAAUACUAACUAAAUUCUAAUUAGAUCAUAAAAAUGCUAAGCAAGCUUUAAUCAAAUUCAAAGAAACCUCAAAAAAAUUACAAAAAAAUAAUAAAAAAUCUUAAAAAAAUAUUAGAAUGAUUACAAAUAUAUCUCAAAUAUAUCUCAAUUUAAUCUUAAUUUAAUCCUAAUUAAAGUCCUAUUAGACUUCAUUCAAAUUUUAGGCCAAAAACUGACUAAAUUUUAAAUCUUAAUCAAAUCCUAAUAAAAUCCUAAAUCCUAAAUCAAAUCUUAAUCAAAUCUUAAAUCUUAAAUCAAAUCCUAAAUCCUAAAUCCUAAACCAAAUCCCAAACUUUAAAUCAAAUCCUAACUAAAUCCUAACCAAAUCCUAAAAAAAUCCUAAAUCUUAAAUCAAACCCAAAUCUUAAAUCAAAUCCUAACCAAAUCCUAACCAAACCUUAAAUCCUAAAUCAAAUCUUAAAUCCUAAACCAAAUCCUAUCCAAAUCCUAACCUUAAAUCAAACUCUAACCAAACCCUAAUCCUAAAUAAAAUCCUAAUCAAAUCCUAACCAAACCUUAAAUCCUAAACCAAAUCCUAAAUCCUAAACCAAAUCCUAAUCAAACCUUAAAUCCUAAACCAAAUCCUAAAUCCUAAACCAAAUUCUAAACCCUAAAUCAAAUUCUAAUCAAACCUUAAAUCCUAAAUUAAAUUCUAAACCUUAAACCAAAUCCUAACCAAACCUUAAAUCCUAAACCAAAUCCUAAAUCCUAAAUUAAAUCUUAAUCAAAUCUUAAAUCUUAACUAAACCUUAAAUCCUAAACCAAAUUCUAAACUCUAAAUCAAAUCCUAACCAAAACUUAAAUCCUAAAUCAAAUCAUAAACCCUAAAUCAAAUCCUAACCAAAUCUUAAAUCCUAAAUCAAAUCCUAAAUCCUAAA
Molecule: long non-coding RNA, 1052 nt
Filed under: Physcomitrium patens
Lineage: Eukaryota; Viridiplantae; Streptophyta; Bryopsida; Funariales; Funariaceae
Description: long non-coding RNA (PPAT_LNC009873)
Source: RNAcentral